ACAAUCAGAAUGUGGACAAGAUCAGUAUCAAGGACGCAAGUUUGAACCAGCUGUAAACAGGUCUUCUGUCUGUGAAUAUUGAGAAGGGCUGGUGGUUGUGGACGGUUGGCUGUGGAUUGGAGACAGAUGUGCUUGUGGAAACCGCUCUUGGGUGGUGCAAAAUAGAUCAACUGCCUCACAUGGGGUUGGAAAAGCAAAACAAUGGUUCACUCCAAGCCUCCCGCGACCGUGUUGCUCUAACGGUCAUUCAGAGUCAACUGUGACCGCUCUCAAUGGCAAACACUGUUGUCUGUGGAUUCGAACCUGGCAAUCUCUGACAAAUUUGUCCCUAACCCUGUCAACGUGUUGGACCUCUUUUACUGCCAGACAUCACAAAGCCCUUGACCACUACCCAUGACAAGGUGGUGGACAACACCACAACAACCCUGGUUGCUAUCCUAGUGAAUGUUGACAACAUCCCAACACCCCUGACCACUAACACAGUCAACCGCGGAGUUAAGGAGGAGGUGACCUCCAGUCAGUCCCUCCCUUUAGUACCUGACUUAUCCUGCCCCUGUCCAGUUAAGUGGUGGAAAGUUUGGGAGAUGUGAACUCUGAUAGAGAAAUAGAUCAACCUCCACGAACAGGUUGGUGUAUUGGGGCGGCCUGUUCUGUCCUCAGACUAAAGCAAGAUGAUGUUUAAAGCUCACUAUGGAUCUACAAACAGUGUCAACUUGAAUUUGAGUGUGGCUGUGGAAGAUGGAUCCCUUCAUGAUGUAUGCAAGUGGCUGAGUACCAAUGAUCUCCGUGAUUCCAUCCCAUCAAGGUUCACAAUCUGUCUGAAGAAUGCCAACUCUAUUCAAUUGUCCACAUAGCAACAAACAUACUUUCUCUGUGUCCAGACUACUCACAUAUCUUGGCCUCUAUCACCAGCAUGAAACACAUUUUCUAAUUAAAUGUGGACUUAAUGGGUGUGGGAAAACAAAGAGAUGUUUCAGCGCCUAUCGGUCACACAUCUACCGAAACCACAGAGAGCUUUUAAGCGCCAACUUAGAUGAGAAUUGCCCUCAUGAUGAAUUUGAGACUGGAACUGAUCCCAUUGAAGAUGGCUUGAAUGAUGUAGAGAGUCUGCCAUGUUCAAGACACAGACAUCAACACUGAGCAGCAAAUUGAAGUCCUCAAAAAUAAUAUCUGUUUAUUAUUUUUGAAAAUCAGGGAAGAACACUGCAUCCCAGCUACGGUACAGAUUAGCAUUGUACAGUGAUGCCCUCAGGUUCCACCUUACAAAUAAGCAAAUAAAUGUGGAUGAAAAUGACAAUCUCAGGGACUUGCUUAAAAACUUUGCAGUAUUUGAGGAAUGCAUUAGAUAGUGGAUGCUGGAGCAUUACUGUGUGGGUGAAUCGGGCACGGUCAGGCCCAAUGAAGUACCCCUGAGCAACAAAAAAGGUAAUAAAACAAGGUCAUUUCAAUACAUCCCAUUGGUCCGCAUACUGCAAAAAAUAACAAGUAAUGUUAAGGUCUGUGCCACCUUGAAUCAAGACCAAAAGCCACACAAUGAUGAAAUUCUGAUAGACUUUACUGACAGUGAAUUGUUCAAAUCAAAUCCCACCCUAACAAAGCAGAGCCUCCGUCUGCAGUUCUAUCACAGGAGGUUGGUGGCACCUUCAUUGGGGAGAAUGGGUUUGUGAUAAUGACUGGAGCGGAACCAGUGGAAUGGUAUCAAAUACAUCAAACACAUGGUUUCCAUGGUUUCCAGGUGUUUGAUGUCAUUCCAUUGGCUCCGUUCCGGGCCAUUAUUAUGAGCCAUCCUCCCUUCACCAGCCUCCACUGAGUUCUAUGUAGAUGAAUUUGAAGUUGAAAAAACAAAAGCUUCCGAGGCACAAUCAAAACAAUCUCAGCAAAUAUUCUCUCCUCGCAUGAGCAAAACUUUUCCUCUGGUCGCAUUUGUUUCCUCUGCUUGACUACCAAGGGGGGACAUUUACUAAAAAAUCACUGAAGAGGAAUUCACCAUGCGUUACAAAGACAACUACAAGUACCAUAUGCAGGCUGCGGAAGAAAAUCCAGACAAUGCAUCGAUGUGUGGCAUCAAAAAAAGCCUGUUGCUUCUCCUCGCUGAAUCAUGUGCCUUCUCCAAUUACCUAUCAGUUUCCACCAGACGUAUUGCAUGACCUUCAUGAGGGCAUCAUACCAACAGUGCUCAGACUAGUGCUGCAACGACUGGUUCAAGAGAAGCAAAUGACACUUGCCCAGAUUGACUAUUUUAUGGCAAACAAGAUGUGUCUUCUAAACCUGUGCCACUAUCCGAGUGAGUCCUAUCUGGAAGUGCAUCAGAAAGAUUUACACUUCCAUUUAUUCCCUGAAAUGAUUAGUAGCCAAAUACGAAAUGGCAGUGCUUGGGAUCUCUACCUCCUGCUUCGAGAGAUAUCCGACAUCAUCUUGGCUCCAAUUUUAGAAAGGUCCUGGAUCCCAUAUCUGCCAGAAAAAAAAAUCACUGAAUUUAAAGCUCUCUUCCAGAAGUUGUUUCCAGGGAAGACAAUCCCAAAGAUACACUACCUUGUCCACUACCCUAGCCUGCUACUUGCCUAUGGACCUUUGAUCCACCAGUCCACCAUGUGUUGUGGAAGCAAAACACCAAUAUUUCAUGAGACUCUCAGCAGUUGUGUGAAACUUCUAAAAUAUAAGAAGACCCUGACAAAAAGACAUCAGCUUAGACAAUGCUUGGAGGAAACCAACAACGGCUGCCUUGGCAACACAACAAGACACCGUGCGGACACGAGACGUCCCACUGCAUGCACUUCCAAACUCUGACCAUGAAGUAUUAAGUGCCAGAUUCGGAGAAGCCAUCAGAGCAAAAACUGUCACCAAGACAAAGUCAAUUACAGUGAGCAACGCGUAGUACAACGUAGGACACUAUCUGGUCAUCAACACUCAUUCAGAAGACAUACCUGUGUUCAUGGAAGUGUGUGGAAUAUACCGUUUCCUUGGUGCUUGUGGGUUAAAGUACAACUUCUAGCCUGUUUAAACAGCCAUCACCACGCAUACAUGGUUCAACACAGUCAACAAUGGAUUGCUAUAAGGCCUGGUGAGGAGAUGGAUUUCCAUUCCACUAGAUGGAUACAGGGACCCAGACGGAAGAGUGUCCAUUCUACUCCGCCACUGGAUUACAGUUAGUGAAAAUGACUUAUUGAGCACAACACACUUUUGUUUCUAUUCUGAUAUGCACUGACCAGAACACUGACACCAAAUUGAUGGAGAGGCAUUGAUGUCAUUGGACCGAAGAAUGGUGGAGCAACUCAUUCCAAUAACCCAAAGAUCGACUCAACUUCACAAAAUGAAUGCUCUUUUUGUUUCUUUCUGAGCCUGAAAGCACAAAAGUAACUGUAUCAUUGUUAGUUCACAGCUGCAGCAAACAGCCCAGCAAAAUGGCACACCAAUUGGCCUUCAGCAUGACAUAUCAACUGGCCAGCAACAGGACACAUCAAUCAGCCAAAGAGUCUGGCCACCUGUGUUUAGACUUCCAGGAUUUCCAGCCGUAUUCAAAUUCAAACGGGGAGGAGAAAAUUGCGAUGAUCUCCAUCGCCCUACUGUGCACUCGAAGUGGAGGUCUCGGAUUGUGCAGGUGUUCGAACGUCAUGUGUACCUACACUUGGUAACCCGCUACCCGGCAAUACAUGGAUGUGUGCACAGCGCUCAUUCAAAAGUACCCCUCGUUGAGAGACCAGACAGGGAAGUGAUAUGAGCACAACAAGACCGUCUUCGGUCUGCUUCUCUGAUCUCAGUCCCGAUAAUCCAUCAUGGCAUUUCUCCUCUCCACAUUUUUAUUAUGGCACGACAUUAUAAAGAAAAAUGCAAAAAAAGAACGUCAGCCGCUUGCUCACGUUGCACAAGUACAAGAAAUGCAGAAGAGGUUUGGGAGGCAAGGGGAAAAAAAAUAAGCCCAAAUUACACCAAAUAUUAAGACCCGAUUUUUAAAUAGCCAAGACUCAGACUGAGGAUCCCUUCAGUCAGAAGUUACAUGUUGAAAAGAUGCAGGAGGAGUGCCAAAACAAGAGACGGAACAUAAGUUCCCUACAAGACCACAUGAAAAAGACUGAGAGAGAACUUUUUUAUAAAACAACAAGGCAUCAAGGCCAUCUUAAAACAGUACCCAGCACUCUGUGUCGUCGGCCAUUGUAAGCAGACAAAAAGUCUGAUAGAAAGAAAUGGUAAAAAGCAUAACUAAUGUAACAUAACCAGGUACUUCCAUCUGAAUCAAAGAUAUAUUGAUGAUGCAUUAGAAACAAAUUGACUUUCAGAUUUUAUGCGAGAUGAGAAGCAAAUUCGGUGUGGACUGAAACAUUCUGUCCGGAUAUGGCACAAUGGCCGACCAAAUCAGUGCAGAAACGGAGAGGAGGGGUGUGGCCGUGGAGUUGAUGAAUCUCUACACGACGGCACUUCUCUCACAAACGGAGGAGGCUCCCUAAGGUCGGAAGGUCACUGCAGCCACUUUGCUCCUCCCCUACCUUUUCAAAGAAGAUCCGAGUGGGCUGUACGUCACAGACAGGGUAUUAUUUCCCAGCAGACAAAUAUAUGAAUGCAAAUAUAGUAGUACUGAGUAAGGUGUGCUGUGCUCAGUUGUUAAUUUACUGUUUGAAAUAUGACAUGAGUAACCUUCAUUUAAAAAAUGCGUACUUCUUCAGUGUGUUAAGUUCCCAUUUACCUACCAUAAGAAUAGAGAUCCAUUUGCGGAUGAGAGCCACAUCCAACUCUUCCUGGAUGGAGAGGAGCGACUCACUGAAGAGCAGGAGGACAUCUCCAUGGGUUUGGGAGUGGCAAUGGGGGUCCGUUUCCUUUUUAAUACUGAGUAUGCAGCAUCAGGGAAAAGCACUAUGCUGUUCAUUCAGAAAUGGUGUUCUGGGAAUUGAUGUGGGGGGGUAAAUUAACAACAAAUGUUGUACUAAUGGCAAACUUUUUGCUGUAGAGCGGGAUAAGGGAGACUAGAGUUUUCUGUGAUGUCUGCAAAUUAGAUUUCUGGGACUUUUAAAGUCAAUAAAAUGAAUUUGUGACUUUACA
Oncorhynchus tshawytscha (Chinook salmon) is the source of this 5031-nucleotide long non-coding RNA. RefSeq lists it as uncharacterized. The transcript is spliced from 9 exons. NCBI's taxonomy places the organism in Eukaryota, Metazoa, Chordata, Actinopteri, Salmoniformes, Salmonidae. The record is from RefSeq and is a predicted model, not a curated record.